AGCGAACGCUGGCGGCAGGCUUAACACAUGCAAGUCGAGCGGGCAUCCUUGUGGUGUCAGCGGCAGACGGGUGAGUAACGCGUGGGAACGUGCCCUUCGAUUCGGAAUAACUCAGGGAAACUUGAGCUAAUACCGGAUACGUGCGAGAGCAGAAAGGUUUAUCUGCCGAAGGAUCGGCCCGCGUCUGAUUAGCUAGUUGGUGAGGUUAUGGCUCACCAAGGCGACGAUCAGUAGCUGGUCUGAGAGGAUGAUCAGCCACACUGGGACUGAGACACGGCCCAGACUCCUACGGGAGGCAGCAGUGGGGAAUAUUGGACAAUGGGGGCAACCCUGAUCCAGCCAUGCCGCGUGAGUGAUGACGGCCUUAGGGUUGUAAAGCUCUUUUCUCCGGGACGAUAAUGACGGUACCGGAGGAAUAAGCCCCGGCUAACUUCGUG
This 437-nucleotide ribosomal RNA is filed under the name uncultured bacterium. Its description in RNAcentral is "partial 16S ribosomal RNA". It matches the Rfam family "Bacterial small subunit ribosomal RNA", at positions 29 to 507 of the family's 1533-position model. The record is from RNAcentral.